This is a long non-coding RNA of Homo sapiens (human), 417 nucleotides long. The record is from Ensembl. NCBI's taxonomy places the organism in Eukaryota, Metazoa, Chordata, Mammalia, Primates, Hominidae.
UGAAUAUACCACACAGAAACAAAGCUCCGUGUCUGCUGUGAAGGCUUUGGAGGAGACAGACCAUGACCAGACACAGGCCCUGUUUCUGAUGCUGAGAAGAGAGGAACUAAAUAAAUCCUGGUUAACAAGUGCAUCAGAAAGCUCCUCUAACUGUAAAUGCAGAGCCCUAGCAUGAAGUGGUACCUGCAGCCUGAAUGCAUCGCAUCUGAGUUAUGGGCAAAGGCAGCACUGCCUGAUGGCCUCCUUCCCAUGUCAUCUCCUCACCGAUGAUCUGUUACAGGUCUGGUCUUCCAUUUUCAAAUAAGGUCUAUCAUUUUUUUGUCCUUAAUAAGAUAAAAAUGAAUUUAUCGAGUUUUAUUAUAAGGGAAAAACUAUUUGCCAAAUGAUUAUUCUUCAAUAAAUAAUUUAUCUGAGAAA